Non-coding RNA from Anas platyrhynchos (mallard), 1866 nucleotides. NCBI's taxonomy places the organism in Eukaryota, Metazoa, Chordata, Aves, Anseriformes, Anatidae. The record is from RefSeq and is a predicted model, not a curated record.
ACCAUGCGAGAGGACGUUUGGGGAAAGAGCGGCUCGGUGGGGUCCCCUCUGAGCGGGUCCCCCUCGACCUUGCAGAGACCCGGCCGGGCUGCGCGGGGCUGGGAUUGCGCCGGGUUUCAAGGACACGGGAGAUGAUCGGGACUUUGGGAGCCAACAUCUGCCUGGCUGGUGACGUCAGCAGCCCCGUGUAAUCCUCUUGUACUGAAGGCAGAUGCCUUAUUUGUUUGGCUGGAGAGGCAUUAAUCCCUAAUUCUGGAGCAGCAAGCGAGGGGGAGAGAACGGACCGCUUCGUACCCCCGAAAGCAGCUCGCGGGGCUCUCCUCCUCUCUGCGCUCUGCGGCUCCGGCUGGGCGGAGGAGCAGCCAGCCUUCGGCAGGCGGUCGCACGCAGGAGCUGCGGUGCCGAGGGGUGCCAGAGCCGCCUGCUCGGCUUGCCCCCCGGAUGCCCGGGCAAAGCCGCCGAAAAGUCUCGGGGAAACCCAGCUCGCCGCCGGAGCCCAGCCGCAGCACACCCGCUUCGCCUUCUCUCCUCUCCUCUCUUCUCCUCUCCCUCUCCCGGGCCAGGCUCGGAGGCAGCAGUCGAGGUCAGCCCGCACGGGUCGUGGGGUCCAGCCCGGGUCGAGCCCGCAGGGCGAUGCGCGGUGCCCGGCCGCCCCCCAGCUCUUCCCCGGCGUGCCAUCGGCACCAAAACAGAAGGGUCCCCGUCCUGAGCGGUGAAAGACGGCAACAACCGUGAUCAUAAUAAUAAUAACAAUUACCUUAGGCUUUUUUUAAUUAUUAUUUUUUUAUUGUAAUGACUUCACCCCUCAUUUCAUCGCUCGCACUGUUCAGCGUAGGCAGGCCAGAUGGGCUGCCCAGACCCUCCCGGGAAAGGGGCAGGUGCGAGUGAGUUGAUUUUUUUUUUUUUUCGCUUUACAAAGAAAGAUGACAUGUCCCGUCCUUUCAUUUUUCACCGCCGACACCCGGCCGAGGGGAGCGGAGAUGCUCCGGGGGUGCGGAUCCCACGGCCCGGGCUCCAGCCGAGCCGCAGGAGCAGGGACUACGGUCCCUCCCGGGCAGGGAUGCCAAACCAGAGACGUCGAGACGGGGAGAGCCAACUCCUGCGUUUCAAAUCACGCGAAGACGCUGGCGAAAUUAAAGCAGUCGCCUGGAAGUGCGUUAUAAGCGCACGCUUAAUUUCUAUGUUUUUUUUGUUUUUUUUUUUUUUUUAAGCCAUUAAGUACAUAUGUAACAGCUUUCCGGGCUUUGCAAACAACAGAUGGGCCAGUAGAAAAAUUCGAGCAUGAAUUACGUCCAGCCCAGGCCAGGAUGGGACUAGGGCGGAGGGGAAUUAUACAUAUAUUUUUUUCUAUAUAUAUAUUUUUUUUCGGGGAUCGGUUGCUGUUCUGUUUCCAGAGAGAGCGAGCGGGAACGCUCCAAGGCUCUGACUCUCCGUGUUCACAGCGGACCUUGAUUUAAUGUCAUACAAUUAAGGCACGCGGUGAAUGCCAAGAGCGGAUCCUCCAGGCGGCAUUAAAGCUCUCGCCCGAACAUAGCAUAGCACCACGAAUAAAAAGAGUAGCGCUAAGUGACACAUCAGAAAGGAGAGAAAAAAAGCAAUGAAGGGCUCGACGUUCUGUACUCACCUACGGAAAGCGCCACCGAAUAGGACUCGAGGCUGGGACGGCUGAGCCCCGUGGAGAGGAGGGGACCGCUGCCAGGGGAUGGCAGCUGUCAGCAGCAGGUAACGGGGACGUGGGGCGGUGCGGGAGCCGUGCGGUGGCAGCGGUGUCUUUCGAGGUGGCGGUGCCUCGACCUCUCGCUUUCCUGGGCUUAAAAUCAUGUAAAGUCGACGACUGGGAAAUAAAUACAUUUUCUGCUAUGAUCA